Molecule: ribosomal RNA, 291 nt
Filed under: Oenococcus oeni
Lineage: Bacteria; Bacillati; Bacillota; Bacilli; Lactobacillales; Lactobacillaceae
Description: partial 16S ribosomal RNA
Rfam family: Bacterial small subunit ribosomal RNA
Source: RNAcentral
CUUAUGACCUGGGCAACACACGUGCUACAAUGGGAAGUACAACGAGUCGCAAACCGGCGACGGUAAGCUAAUCUCUUAAAACUUCUCUCAGUUCGGACUGGAGUCUGCAACUCGACUCCACGAAGGCGGAAUCGCUAGUAAUCGCGAAUCAGCAUGUCGCGGUGAAUACGUUCCCGGGUCUUGUACACACCGCCCGUCAAAUCAUGGGAGUCGGAAGUACCCAAAGUCGCUUGGCUAACUUUUAGAGGCCGGUGCCUAAGGUAAAAUCGAUGACUGGGAUUAAGUCGUAAC